This 465-nucleotide ribosomal RNA is filed under the name uncultured bacterium. RNAcentral's name for it is "partial 16S ribosomal RNA". It matches the Rfam family "Bacterial small subunit ribosomal RNA", at positions 338 to 795 of the family's 1533-position model. The record is from RNAcentral.
CCUACGGGAGGCAGCAGUGGGGAAUCUUGCGCAAUGGGCGAAAGCCUGAUGCAGCGACGCCGCGUGAGGGAUGAAGGUCUUCGGAUCGUAAACCUCUGUCAGCAGGGAAGAACGGUCACUGUGCUAAUCAGCAGUGAAUUGACGGUACCUGCAAAGGAAGCACCGGCUAACUCCGUGCCAGCAGCCGCGGUAAUACGUAGGGUGCGAGCGUUAAUCGGAAUUACUGGGCGUAAAGCGCUCGUAGGCGGUAUGUCAAGUCAAGGGUGAAAUCCCGGCGCUUAACGUGGGAACUGCGUUUGAAACUGGCAAACUGGAGUGUGGGAGGGGAUAGUGGAAUUCCCGGUGUAGGAGUGAAAUGCGUAGAUAUCGGGAGGAACAUCAGUGGCGAAGGCGACUAUCUGGCACAUAACUGACGCUGAGGAGCGAAAGCGUGGGUAGCAAACAGGAUUAGAUACCCCUGUAGUC